AGUGAACGCUGGCGGUAGGCCUAACACAUGCAAGUCGAACGGCAGCACAGUAAGAGCUUGCUCUUACGGGUGGCGAGUGGCGGGCGGGUGAGGAAUACAUCGGAAUCUACUUUUUCGUGGGGGAUAACGUAGGGAAACUUACGCUAAUACCGCAUACGACCUACGGGUGAAAGCAGGGGAUCUUCGGACCUUGCGCGAUUGAAUGAGCCGAUGUCGGAUUAGCUAGUUGGCGGGGUAAAGGCCCACCAAGGCGACGAUCCGUAGCUGGUCUGAGAGGAUGAUCAGCUACACUGGAACUGAGACACGGUCCAGACUCCUACGGGAGGCAGCAGUGGGGAAUAUUGGACAAUGGGCGCGAGCCUGAUCCAGCCAUACCGCGUAGGUGAAGAAGGCCUUCGGGUUGUAAAGCCCUUUUGUUGGGAAAGAAAAGCAGCAGGUUAAUACCCCGCUGUUCUGACGGUACCCAAAGAAUAAGCACCGGCUAACUUCGUG
Molecule: ribosomal RNA, 492 nt
Filed under: uncultured bacterium
Lineage: Bacteria
Description: partial 16S ribosomal RNA
Rfam family: Bacterial small subunit ribosomal RNA
Source: RNAcentral